This is a ribosomal RNA of Fukomys damarensis (Damara mole-rat), 123 nucleotides long. Lineage: Eukaryota; Metazoa; Chordata; Mammalia; Rodentia; Bathyergidae. The record is from Ensembl.
AUCUAUGGCCAUACCACCUUGAAUGCACUUGAUUUUGUCUGUUCUUGGAAGCUAAGCAGGGUCGGGCCUGGUUAGUAUUUGGAUGGGAGAAUAAGCAGUUCAAAGAAUUGGCUGUUGCAUCUU